This 798-nucleotide ribosomal RNA is filed under the name uncultured Glomus. RNAcentral's name for it is "SSU rRNA". It matches the Rfam family "Eukaryotic small subunit ribosomal RNA", at positions 314 to 1114 of the family's 1831-position model. Lineage: Eukaryota; Fungi; Glomeromycota; Glomeromycetes; Glomerales; Glomeraceae. The record is from RNAcentral.
AUCAACUUUCGAUGGUAGGAUAGAGGCCUACCAUGGUGGUAACGGGUAACGGGGUGUUAGGGCACGACACCGGAGAGGGAGCCUGAGAAACGGCUACCACAUCCAAGGAUGGCAGCAGGCGCGCAAAUUACCCAAUCCCGACACGGGGAGGUAGUGACAAUAAAUAACAAUACGGGGUUCUUUCGGAUCUCGUAAUUGGAAUGAGUACAAUUUAAAUCUCUUAACGAGGAACAAUUGGAGGGCAAGUCUGGUGCCAGCAGCCGCGGUAAUUCCAGCUCCAAUAGCGUAUAUUAAAGUUGUUGCAGUUAAGAAGCUCGUAGUUGAAUUUCGGAAUCAAUAUGUUGGUCGUGCCUUGGUACGUACUGGCGUCAUUGGUUUCUACCUUCUGAAGAACCUCGAUGUCAUUGAUUUGGUGUCUUGGGGAAUCAGGACUGUUACUUUGAAAAAAUUAGAGUGUUUAAAGCAGGCUCACGCUUGAAUACAUUAGCAUGGAAUAAUGAAAUAGGACGUUUGAUUCUAUUUUGUUGGUUUCUAGGAUCGACGUAAUGAUUAAUAGGGAUAGUUGGGGGCAUUAGUAUUCAAUUGUCAGAGGUGAAAUUCUUGGAUUUAUUGAAGACUAACUACUGCGAAAGCAUUUGCCAAGGAUGUUUUCAUUAAUCAAGAACGAAAGUUAGGGGAUCGAAGACGAUCAGAUACCGUCGUAGUCUUAACCAUAAACUAUGCCGACUAGGGAUCGGAUGAUGUUAAUUUUUUAAUGACUCAUUCGGCGCCUUACGGGAAACCAAAGUGUUUGGGUUC